UCACCAUGUGAAUCUGUACAGAUCUGAUCUGUGCCGAGUUGUGGUCUGUAGAAGCAAUGUAUGUCAGUGUCUCGGGCCAAGUCCUUUGGAAAAAGGCAGCUGAGAGGGUGAGACUCCCGUUCUUGCCUGAGAGAUUUGACUAUAUUCAUGCCUUCAACGAGUCGAGUUGUUUGGGAUUGCAGCUCAAAUUGGGUGGUAAAUUCCAUCUAAAGCUAAAUAUUGGUGGGAGACCGAUAGCGAACAAGUACCGUGAGGGAAAGAUGAAAAGAACUUUGAAAAGAGAGUUAAAGAGUACCUGAAAUUGCUGAAAUGGAAGCGAAGGAAACCAGUGUUAUUUUGCAUCAUUUUUCCCCUGCUGCUUGCAACAGGGGCGCUGUGAUGUAAGGUAGGCCAGUAUGGGUUUGAAUCGGGGCAAAAGCUUUUGCUGCCCUGGUUUGGACUGAGGUUAGCUCGUGUGAUGCUGGCGAAAUGGUUUUCUUUACCCCGUCUUGAAACACGGACCAAGGAGUCUAACAUAUGUGCGAGUAUAGGAGUGGCAAACUCCCAUGCGCAAUGAAAGUAACAGUGGUGUUAUCAACAUCCGCCGGCCACAAUCCUUCGGGA
RNAcentral lists this ribosomal RNA (603 nucleotides) under Chaetoceros decipiens. RNAcentral describes it as "eukaryotic LSU rRNA". It matches the Rfam family "Eukaryotic large subunit ribosomal RNA", at positions 109 to 784 of the family's 3401-position model. Lineage: Eukaryota; Bacillariophyta; Thalassiosirophyceae; Chaetocerotales; Chaetocerotaceae. The record is from RNAcentral.